GUGGGGCUCAGAGCCCAUGGGGUGCAGAUCCAGCCCAGAGUGAGCCCAGCCCCGGCAGAGAGGUGGACCCCACCUCGGAAGUUUCCUGAACGUGGCUGAGCCCGGAGUGGGAAUUUGACUGACAGGGGCGGGGCCAGGUUCUGGGGGCCCAGCCCCGAGAAGAAACGCCUGCAGUGUGCGGGAGGCCCGCAUCCGGGGACAGAGGGGAGUCAAGAGUGACAGAGUCAGCAGGGAGAGGAUGAACAGGAAGGAAGUGGGUGUGAGAAAAGUGGAAAUGUUCCCAAGCUCAGCUUGCAAGGCGAGUCUGUUCCAGCCACCAGCAUCAGACACAGGCAGCAGAAGAAAACCGUAGGUGAACCUCAUUUAAAGACAAGUUACCUACGAAAUAUUAGGAUAUCAUCAAAUCGAGCAUGAGAUCAUAAAAAACAUACAGUGUGUUCAACUACAGCUUAUUCCAGCAACAAGGGGCCGUUCAACGUUGGAAAAUAUACUAAUCUAAUUACUCCACUGGCAGGUUAAAUCACGUGAGUCUCUUAAUAGAGGCUGAAGCAGCAUUUGAUGUAAUUCACCACACAUUCCUG
Long non-coding RNA from Bos taurus (domestic cattle), 581 nucleotides. The record is from Ensembl. Lineage: Eukaryota; Metazoa; Chordata; Mammalia; Artiodactyla; Bovidae.